RNAcentral lists this ribosomal RNA (253 nucleotides) under uncultured bacterium. RNAcentral's name for it is "partial 16S ribosomal RNA". It matches the Rfam family "Bacterial small subunit ribosomal RNA", at positions 524 to 776 of the family's 1533-position model. The record is from RNAcentral.
UACGGAGGGUGCAAGCGUUAUCCGGAUUCACCGGGUUUAAAGGGUGCGUAGGUGGGCAGGUAAGUCAGUGGUGAAAUCUCCGGGCUUAACUCGGAAACUGCCAUUGAUACUAUCUGUCUUGAAUACCGUGGAGGUCAGCGGAAUAUGUCAUGUAGCGGUGAAAUGCUUAGAUAUGACAUAGAACACCAAUUGCGAAGGCAGCUGGCUACACGAAUAUUGACACUGAUGCACGAAAGCGUGGGGAUCAAACAGG